AUGACCGACAGCAAAAUGCCGGAUUUUCAGGCGGGGUAUGAGAAAGGCAUCACCGAAUUGCUCAGUGCCUUGGCAGGGGCGAACCUGAUCUAUGAGGCCG
Roseovarius albus is the source of this 100-nucleotide regulatory RNA element. It matches the Rfam family "Pyrrolysine insertion sequence mttB". The record is from Rfam. Lineage: Bacteria; Pseudomonadati; Pseudomonadota; Alphaproteobacteria; Rhodobacterales; Roseobacteraceae.